AGCAGUAGCCGCGGUAAUACGAAGGGGGCUAGCGUUGUUCGGAAUUACUGGGCGUAAAGCGCACGUAGGCGGAUAUUUAAGUCAGGGGUGGAAUCCCAGAGCUCAACUCCGGAACUGCCUUUGAUACUGGGUAUCUUGAGUAUGGAAGAGGUGAGUGGAAUUCCGAGUGUAGAGGUGAAAUUCGUAGAUAUUCGGAGGAACACCAGUGGCGAAGGCGGCUCACUGGUCCAUUACUGACGCUGAGGUGCGAAAGCGUGGGGAGCAAAUAGGAUUAGAUACCCCAGUAGUCCCUGUCUCUUAUAC
Molecule: ribosomal RNA, 303 nt
Filed under: uncultured bacterium
Lineage: Bacteria
Description: partial 16S ribosomal RNA
Rfam family: Bacterial small subunit ribosomal RNA
Source: RNAcentral